Molecule: ribosomal RNA, 1208 nt
Filed under: Salmonella enterica subsp. enterica serovar Paratyphi B var. L(+) tartrate +
Lineage: Bacteria; Pseudomonadati; Pseudomonadota; Gammaproteobacteria; Enterobacterales; Enterobacteriaceae
Description: partial 23S ribosomal RNA
Rfam family: Bacterial large subunit ribosomal RNA
Source: RNAcentral
GGGUUGUGAGGUUAAGCGACUAAGCGUACACGGUGGAUGCCCUGGCAGUCAGAGGCGAUGAAGGGCGUGCUAAUCUGCGAUAAGCGCCGGUAAGGUGAUAUGAACCGUUAUAACCGGCGAUACCCGAAUGGGGAAACCCAGUGUGAUUCGUCACACUAUCAUUAACUGAAUCCAUAGGUUAAUGAGGCGAACCGGGGGAACUGAAACAUCUAAGUACCCCGAGGAAAAGAAAUCAACCGAGAUUCCCCCAGUAGCGGCGAGCGAACGGGGAGGAGCCCAGAGCCUGAAUCAGCAUGUGUGUUAGUGGAAGCGUCUGGAAAGGCGCGCGAUACAGGGUGACAGCCCCGUACACAAAAGCGCAUGUGUUGUGAGCUCGAUGAGUAGGGCGGGACACGUGGUAUCCUGUCUGAAUAUGGGGGGACCAUCCUCCAAGGCUAAAUACUCCUGACUGACCGAUAGUGAACCAGUACCGUGAGGGAAAGGCGAAAAGAACCCCGGCGAGGGGAGUGAAAAAGAACCUGAAACCGUGUACGUACAAGCAGUGGGAGCACAGGUUUACCUGUGUGACUGCGUACCUUUUGUAUAAUGGGUCAGCGACUUAUAUUCUGUAGCAAGGUUAACCGUAUAGGGGAGCCGGAGGGAAACCGAGUCUUAAUUGGGCGUUAAGUUGCAGGGUAUAGACCCGAAACCCGGUGAUCUAGCCAUGGGCAGGUUGAAGGUUGGGUAACACUAACUGGAGGACCGAACCGACUAAUGUUGAAAAAUUAGCGGAUGACCUGUGGCUGGGGGUGAAAGGCCAAUCAAACCGGGAGAUAGCUGGUUCUCCCCGAAAGCUAUUUAGGUAGCGCCUCGUGAAUUCAUCUCCGGGGGUAGAGCACUGUUUCGGCUAGGGGGCCAUCCCGGCUUACCAACCCGAUGCAAACUGCGAAUACCGGAGAAUGUUAUCACGGGAGACACACGGCGGGUGCUAACGUCCGUCGUGAAGAGGGAAACAACCCAGACCGCCAGCUAAGGUCCCAAAGUCAUGGUUAAGUGGGAAACGAUGUGGGAAGGCCCAGACAGCCAGGAUGUUGGCUUAGAAGCAGCCAUCAUUUAAAGAAAGCGUAAUAGCUCACUGGUCGAGUCGGCCUGCGCGGAAGAUGUAACGGGGCUAAACCAUGCACCGAAGCUGCGGCAGCGACGCUUAUGCGUUGUUGGGUAGGGGAGCG